This 240-nucleotide unclassified non-coding RNA is filed under the name soil metagenome. RNAcentral's name for it is "partial contains 5.8S ribosomal RNA, internal transcribed spacer 2, and large subunit ribosomal RNA". The record is from RNAcentral.
AACGCACGAGACCUGCGGACCUGCGGAGGGAUCAUUAAUGAGAAGCUGCCCCUCGCGGGUAGAUCUCCCACCCUUUGUAAACUUACCUUUGUUGCUUUGGCAGGCCCGUCUCCGGACCGCCGGCUUCGGCUGGCCAGUGCCUGCCAGAGGAUUCUAAAACUCUGUCUGUCAGUGUUGUCUGAGUCUAUAUACAAUCGUUAAAACUUUCAACAACGGAUCUCUAGAUCGGAAGAGCACACG